Molecule: ribosomal RNA, 391 nt
Filed under: uncultured bacterium
Lineage: Bacteria
Description: bacterial SSU rRNA
Rfam family: Bacterial small subunit ribosomal RNA
Source: RNAcentral
GACGAACGCUGGCGGCGUGCUUAACACAUGCAAGUCGAGCGGUAAGGCCCUUUCGGGGGUACGACGAGCGGCGAACGGGUGAGUAACACGUGGGUGACCUGCCCUCCAGCUCUGGGAUAAGCCUGGGAAACCGGGGUCUAAUACCGGAUAUGACUCCAUGACGCAUGUUGUGGGGUGGAAAGCCUUGUGCGGCUGAGGAUGGGCCCGCGGCCUAUCAGCUUGUUGGUGGGGUGAUGGCCUACCAAGGCGACGACGGGUAGCCGGCCUGAGAGGGCGACCGGCCACACUGGGACUGAGACACGGCCCAGACUCCUACGGGAGGCAGCAGUGGGGAAUCUUGCGCAAUGGGCGAAAGCCUGACGCAGCGACGCCGCGUGAGGGAUGACGGCCU